This 211-nucleotide long non-coding RNA is filed under the name Gossypium barbadense (sea-island cotton). Its description in RNAcentral is "long non-coding RNA (GBAR_LNC012320)". The record is from RNAcentral. Lineage: Eukaryota; Viridiplantae; Streptophyta; Magnoliopsida; Malvales; Malvaceae.
UCAAAUUUGGCCCAAGUACUAAUCAAUUUUUUGAGUAAUUUCGUAGAUACAGACUGGGUUUAAGGCUCAAGACAGCAAAAAGGAGGGAAAAAUCCAUACCUUUCCGCCACUCACAUUGCUUGCGCCCAAGUAACCCUAAUGUAGCUAAAUUUUUGCUCUAUCUUGCCCUAAUUUUUUCUUAUAUAAAUCCCUCUCCAUUCUACUAAUUUUC